UCGGGGACUGGGCGGGGCGGGCACGCGCCAGCAGGCAGGGCCGUGCCGGGAUGGGCUCGCGGCUGUUGCGAGGUUCACGCCCGCCCAGCGUGCGCGUGCACGUGCACGUGGAGACCUGGGCGAAGAGGCGGGGCUCUCGAACGAGAGCGCCAGACGGGGGCGGAGUUGCGGUUUUGACGUACCCCGAGGGGCGGGGAUGGAGAGCUGGCACCGGGGAGCUUGGAAGGACUGUCUAUUUCACUCUCCAAGGGCUGGACACAGAGCACACAUUUGAUGGUCCCAUCUCAAAGGCUGGGCAAGUUGGGCAUGUGAAAAGAACAUGUUGGUUUAUGGAAUACAAAAUUUCGAGGAGUAAAGUCUAUCAGAAAGGAGUUACAGAAGAAAAAUAACACUGCUGGUGGCUCGGUGCAGGCAAUGGAAGCCAGCUGUGGCUGGUUCAGCAGAGGAGUUUGUUCAAAGAGAGGCACGAGGGCUGGAGUAAAGACCUGAGGGACAGAGCUUCCGGAGGCGAUGCCCUAGACCUGCUGCAGGACUGAUCUGGUUAGAAACUGCGCUGCCUCCCCGGCUCAGGCUCCCGUUGUCACGGGUGACACUCCUGGCACUUCUGCGCCAUGAAUUCCAUCUCGUGGCCCCUGCCACUUCCAAACAUCAGGUGCCUUUGCUUUGAACCUACCAGCAGCUGUGAUCCCACAGGAGCUCCCCUCUCAGGUUGCUCUCCUUGGAAAUGAAAUCUGCUGAGGGUGCUGCUGACUGGUGACGCUGGGCCACAUGCCUGCCCCCACCCACUGGGAAAGUGAGGCCCUGAUUGCUCCUGGGGAGGUGUGGCUCCCAAGGUGGGACAUUCCAUAAACAGAAGAGGAAUGUGUAAGAGGUACUGGGAAGCCAGAAAACAUG
Molecule: long non-coding RNA, 894 nt
Filed under: Equus caballus (horse)
Lineage: Eukaryota; Metazoa; Chordata; Mammalia; Perissodactyla; Equidae
Description: lncRNA (ENSECAG00000030608.2)
Source: RNAcentral